CUCUGGGUGGUGAAACGGUUACACUCCAGACUCCUAACCUGAAGGUUGAUGGUUCAAACCCACCCAGAGG
Molecule: transfer RNA, 70 nt
Filed under: Loxodonta africana (African savanna elephant)
Lineage: Eukaryota; Metazoa; Chordata; Mammalia; Proboscidea; Elephantidae
Rfam family: tRNA
About the family: Transfer RNA (tRNA) molecules are approximately 80 nucleotides in length.
Source: Rfam by way of RNAcentral